CGCCAGACUCCUACGGGAGGCAGCAGUGAGGAAUAUUGGUCAAUGGGCGGGAGCCUGAACCAGCCAAGCCGCGUGAAGGAAGAAGGCGCCAGGCGUCGUAAACUUCUUUUGUCGGGGAACAAAGGGCGCCACGCGUGGCGUUGUGAGUGUACCCGAAGAAAAAGCAUCGGCUAACUCCGUGCCAGCAGCCGCGGUAAUACGGAGGAUGCGAGCGUUAUCCGGAUUUAUUGGGUUUAAAGGGUGCGUAGGCGGGCUUUUAAGUCAGCGGUAAAAAUUCGGGGCUCAACCCCGUCCGGCCGUUGAAACUGGGGGCCUUGAGUGGGCGAGAAGAAGGCGGAAUGCGUGGUGUAGCGGUGAAAUGCAUAGAUAUCACGAAGAACCCCGAUUGCGAAGGCAGCUUACUAAACUGUGACUGACAUUGAUGCUCGAAAGUGUGGGUAUCAAACAGGAUUAGAUACCCGAGUA
RNAcentral lists this ribosomal RNA (465 nucleotides) under uncultured bacterium. RNAcentral's name for it is "bacterial SSU rRNA". It matches the Rfam family "Bacterial small subunit ribosomal RNA", at positions 329 to 792 of the family's 1533-position model. The record is from RNAcentral.